RNAcentral lists this ribosomal RNA (400 nucleotides) under uncultured bacterium. Its description in RNAcentral is "bacterial SSU rRNA". It matches the Rfam family "Bacterial small subunit ribosomal RNA", at positions 363 to 758 of the family's 1533-position model. The record is from RNAcentral.
CUUCAGCAGACGGGGGCACCCUGACCGCAAUGCCGCGUGAGUGAAGAAGGCCUUCGGGUUGUAAAGCUCUUUUGUCAGGGAAGAAACAGCAGCUCUAACACAGUCUGCGAAUGACGGUACCUGAAGAAUAAGCACCGGCUAACUACGUGCCAGCAGCCGCGGUAAGACGAAGGGGGCUAGCGUUGUUCGGAAUUACUGGGCGUAAAGCGCGUGUAGGCGGUUUUCCAAGUUGGGUGUGAAAGCCUUGGGCUUAACCCAAGAAAUGCACUCAGUACUGGAAGACUAGAGGACCGGAGAGGAUAGUGGAAUUCCCAGUGUAGUGGGGGGAGGCGUAGAGAUUGGGAAGAACACCAGUGGCGAAGGCGGCUAUCUGGACGGUUUCUGACGCUAAGACGCGAAA